AGUGAACGCUGGCGGUAGGCCUAACACAUGCAAGUCGAACGGCAGCACAGUAAGAGCUUGCUCUUACGGGUGGCGAGUGGCGGACGGGUGAGGAAUACAUCGGAAUCUACUUUUUCGUGGGGGAUAACGUAGGGAAACUUACGCUAAUACCGCAUACGACCUACGGGUGAAAGCAGGGGAUCUUCGGACCUUGCGCGAUUGAAUGAGCCGAUGUCGGAUUAGCUAGUUGGCGGGGUAAAGGCCCACCAAGGCGACGAUCCGUAGCUGGUCUGAGAGGAUGAUCAGCCACACUGGAACUGAGACACGGUCCAAACUCCUCGGGGGGGCAGCAGGGGGGAAUAUGGGAAAAGGGGCGCAAGCCUGAUCCAGCCAUACCGGGGGGGUGAAGAAGGCCUUCGGGUUGUAAAGCCUUUUUGUUGGGAAAGAAAAGCAGCAGGUUAAUACCCCGCUGUUCUGACGGUACCCAAAGAAUAAGCACCGGCUAACUUCGU
Molecule: ribosomal RNA, 491 nt
Filed under: uncultured bacterium
Lineage: Bacteria
Description: partial 16S ribosomal RNA
Rfam family: Bacterial small subunit ribosomal RNA
Source: RNAcentral